RNAcentral lists this ribosomal RNA (274 nucleotides) under uncultured bacterium. RNAcentral describes it as "partial 16S ribosomal RNA". It matches the Rfam family "Bacterial small subunit ribosomal RNA", at positions 523 to 796 of the family's 1533-position model. The record is from RNAcentral.
AUACAGAGGGUGCAAGCGUUAAUCGGAUUUACUGGGCGUAAAGCGCGCGUAGGUGGCCAAUUAAGUCAAAUGUGAAAUCCCCGAGCUUAACUUGGGAAUUGCAUUCGAUACUGGUUGGCUAGAGUAUGGGAGAGGAUGGUAGAAUUCCAGGUGUAGCGGUGAAAUGCGUAGAGAUCUGGAGGAAUACCGAUGGCGAAGGCAGCCAUCUGGCCUAAUACUGACACUGAGGUGCGAAAGCAUGGGGAGCAAACAGGAGUAGAAACCCCAGUAGUCC